CCUACGGGUGGCAGCAGUGGGGAAUAUUGCACAAUGGGGGAAACCCUGAUGCAGCGACGCCGCGUGAGCGAAGAAGUAUUUCGGUAUGUAAAGCUCUAUCAGCAGGGAAGAAAAUGACGGUACCUGAGUAAGAAGCUCCGGCUAAAUACGUGCCAGCAGCCGCGGUAAUACGUAUGGCGCAAGCGUUAUCCGGAUUUACUGGGCGUAAGGGGAGCGUAGGCGGCCUGCCAAGUCUGAUGUGAAAUACCGGGGCUCAACCCCGGGGCUGCAUUGGAAACUGGCAGGCUGGAGUGCAGACGAGGCAGGCGGAAUUCCUGGUGUAGCGGUGAAAUGCGUAGAUAUUAGGAGGAACACCGGUGGCGAGGGCGGCCUGCUGGACGGUGACUGACGCUGAGGCUCGAAAGCGUGGGGAGCAAACAGGAUUAGUACCCCAGUAGUC
Molecule: ribosomal RNA, 439 nt
Filed under: uncultured bacterium
Lineage: Bacteria
Description: partial 16S ribosomal RNA
Rfam family: Bacterial small subunit ribosomal RNA
Source: RNAcentral